GUGGGGAAUAUUGGACAAUGGGCGAAAGCCUGAUCCAGCCAUGCCGCGUGUGUGAAGAAGGUCUUCGGAUUGUAAAGCACUUUAAGUUGGGAGGAAGGGCAGUAAGUUAAUACCUUGCUGUUUUGACGUUACCGACAGAAUAAGCACCGGCUAACUUCGUGCCAGCAGCCGCGGUAAUACGAAGGGUGCAAGCGUUAAUCGGAAUUACUGGGCGUAAAGCGCGCGUAGGUGGUUUUGUAAGUUGGAGGUGAAAUCCCCGGGCUCAACCUGGGAAGUGCGUCGAAAAGUGCAUGACUAGAGUACGGUAGAGGUUAGUGGAAUUGCCUGUGUAGCGGUGAAAUGCGUAGAUAUAGGAAGGAACCCCAGUGGCGAAGGCGACUACCUGGACUGAUACUGACACUGAGGUGCGAAAGCGUGGGGAGCAAACAGGAUUAGAAACCCCUGUAGUCC
RNAcentral lists this ribosomal RNA (450 nucleotides) under uncultured bacterium. RNAcentral's name for it is "partial 16S ribosomal RNA". It matches the Rfam family "Bacterial small subunit ribosomal RNA", at positions 354 to 796 of the family's 1533-position model. The record is from RNAcentral.